RNAcentral lists this ribosomal RNA (495 nucleotides) under uncultured bacterium. RNAcentral describes it as "partial 16S ribosomal RNA". It matches the Rfam family "Bacterial small subunit ribosomal RNA", at positions 28 to 507 of the family's 1533-position model. The record is from RNAcentral.
GACGAACGCUGGCGGCGUGCCUAAUACAUGCAAGUAGAACGCUGAAGGAGGAGCUUGCUUCUCCGGAUGAGUUGCGAACGGGUGAGUAACGCGUAGGUAACCUGCCUGGUAGCGGGGGAUAACUAUUGGAAACGAUAGCUAAUACCGCAUAACAGUAGAUGUUGCAUGACAUUUGCUUAAAAGGUGCAAUUGCAUCACUACCAGAUGGACCUGCGUUGUAUUAGCUAGUUGGUGAGGUAACGGCUCACCAAGGCGACGGUACAUAGCCGACCUGAGAGGGUGAUCGGCCACACUGGGACUGAGACACGGCCCAGACUCCUACGGGAGGCAGCAGUAGGGAAUCUUCGGCAAUGGACGGAAGUCUGACCGAGCAACGCCGCGUGAGUGAAGAAGGUUUUCGGAUCGUAAAGCUCUGUUGUAAGAGAAGAACGAGUGUGAGAGUGGAAAGUUCACACUGUGACGGUAUCUUACCAGAAAGGGACGGCUAACUACGUG